Molecule: ribosomal RNA, 497 nt
Filed under: uncultured bacterium
Lineage: Bacteria
Description: partial 16S ribosomal RNA
Rfam family: Bacterial small subunit ribosomal RNA
Source: RNAcentral
GAUGAACGCUGGCGGCGUGCCUAAUACAUGCAAGUCGAGCGAACAGACGAGGAGCUUGCUCCUCUGACGUUAGCGGCGGACGGGUGAGUAACACGUGGAUAACCUACCUAUAAGACUGGGAUAACUUCGGGAAACCGGAGCUAAUACCGGAUAAUAUAUUGAACCGCAUGGUUCAAUAGUGAAAGACGGUUUUGCUGUCGCUUAUAGAUGGACCCGCGCCGCAUUAGAUAGUUGGUAAGGUAACGGCUUACCAAGGCAACGAUGCGUAGCCGACCUGAGAGGGUGAUCGGCCAGCCUGGAAGUGAGACACGGCCGAGACUCCUACGGGAGGCAGCAGUAGGGAAUCUUCCGCAAUGGGCGAAAGCCUGACGGAGCAACGCCGCGUGAGUGAUGAAGGUCUUCGGAUCGUAAAACUCUGUUAUUAGGGAAGAACAAAUGUGUAAGUAACUAUGCACGUCUUGACGGUACCUAAACAGAAAGCCACGGCUAACUACGUG